Oncorhynchus keta (chum salmon) is the source of this 386-nucleotide long non-coding RNA. RefSeq lists it as uncharacterized. The transcript is spliced from 3 exons. NCBI's taxonomy places the organism in Eukaryota, Metazoa, Chordata, Actinopteri, Salmoniformes, Salmonidae. The record is from RefSeq and is a predicted model, not a curated record.
CUAGUUAGGUCCUAGUUCGGUCCUAGUUAGGUCCUAGUUCGGUCCUAGUUCGGUCCUAGUUCGGUCCUAGUUCGGUCCUAGUUCGGUCCUAGUUAGGUCCUAGUUCGGUCCUAGUUAGGUCCUAGUUAGGUCCUAGUUAGGUCCUAGUUCGGUCCUAGUUAGGUCCUAGUUAGGUCCUAGUUAGGUCCUAGUUCGGUCCUAGUUAUGCAGUGUUCCAUACCAGAGCCCUGAUACAUUUUUACAUUGUAGUCAUUUAGCAGAUGCUCUUGCCCAGAGCGACGUACACGUUGGGCAUUCAUCUUAAAAAAGAAACUAAGCAUUUUCUUCGGUAAGUAACUAUUAGCAAAGUCAGUGGUAAAUAAGAAAAGACUAGUGUUAAGUGUCCA